Non-coding RNA from Pelobates cultripes (western spadefoot toad), 1642 nucleotides. NCBI's taxonomy places the organism in Eukaryota, Metazoa, Chordata, Amphibia, Anura, Pelobatidae. The record is from the annotation of a GenBank genome assembly.
AUGAAAAACAAGAAAGUAGAGCCGAAGACUAUAAUGUCCCAGCCAUUAUACAGAAGCCUAAUUCACUUCAACAAGAUGGAAGACAGGGGAAUGACACUAGGAGUUACAGUAAAGUAGUUGCAAGUUCAUCGAGAAAUUUUCAAAAUAGGAACCCUCCACAGAAUAAACAUAGAUCUUGUACGGAUAGAUGUAAACCGACCAUAGACAGAAAUCAUGAUAUAACUACCUAUAAUCGUUUCCAAAUAUUGGAACAUAGCAACACCUCCCCCAAAUCUUCUCCUUUUCGCAAAAGCCCAGUACAACCCAGAUACAAACAACUUCAAGAAUCACGGGAAUGGGACUCGCCGGGCAAAAGGAGGAGAUCGUGGGAAGAGGGAGAAAUAGAAGACGAAAGAAAUUACAACAGAGAGAAACGAGGACGGAUGUAGAUAAUAAAGGUAUAUUCAACCUUUCAGAUAAAGAAUUAGGUCAAGAUGAACUUACUUUUCUAAAAAAAGGUUUGAAGUUUGCUCCGUCUGCAGAUUUUAAACCAUUUGAAUUUUUUAUAGAUCUUAACCGCUUCACCAGACAGUUAUGUUUGAAAAAAAUUUUUUAUAAUAGAGAAUUAGUAGAAACCAAUAAGACUUCCCCGUAUAUCCAUAGUAAUCUUAAAGAAAAAUCAAAAUUCUUUCCAAGGAAUAUGAUCUCAAGCGAAAUCAAAACCUUUGAGACCAUGAUUAUGAAAGAAGUUAAAAAAAUUAAACAUACAAAUAAAUAUCAAAAAAAUCUCACGCAAGCAGAAUUAACAAUUUUAAAGAAGUUACAAAAGGAUGACAACUUAAUUAUAAAACCAGCAGACAAGGGGGGAGGGGUGGUAAUUCUAUCUAAAGAAAAAUAUGUAGGAGAAGCAGAAAGACUUCUGUCGGAUGUAAAAACAUAUAAAAAAUUAACAUCCAACCCUAGUCAAGAAAUUACAAUUAAGUUUAAAGAAUAUAUUGAUAAAGGAUUAGAAAACAAUAUUUUAACAGAGACAGAAGCCAAAUACUUAAUUAUUUUAAAUCCCCAAAUUCCAGUGUUUUAUUGUUUGCCAAAAAUGCACAAACAUUUAACCAACCCACCAGGUAGACCUAUAAUUUCGGGGGUAGAGAGCAUCUCAUUGAGAGUCUCGGAAUAUAUUGAUGUCCUACUUCAACCGGUGGUAAUUAAGAAUCCAACGUAUUUGAAAGAUACGAUACACAUUUUGCAAAUUUUAGGAGAUAUCAAAUGGGAAGAGAAUUAUAUAUUGGUCACUUGUGAUGUAAGUUCUCUUUAUAGCAACAUUCCACACAUAAAGGGAAUAGAGGCGGUGCAAUAUUUUUUAGAAAAAUCGAAUUUUAAACAAGAACAGGUUAAUUUUAUUAAAGAAGGUAUGUCUUUAAUUCUGACCAAUAAUUUUUUUUGGUUUAAAGACAGUUUUUAUUUGCAAAUCAAUGGAACGGCGAUGGGGACCAAGUUCGCACCAAGUUACGCAAAUCUCUUCAUGGCGUAUUGGGAAGAAACAUUUAUUUUACAUAGUGAAUUUUUUGCGGACUUGGUCACCUAUCGCCGUUACAUUGAUGAUAUAUUUUUUAUUUGGAAGGGAAAUGAUUUAAAAUUGAGUAAUUUUUUAAGUUUUUUAAAUAGC